Punica granatum (pomegranate) is the source of this 921-nucleotide non-coding RNA. NCBI's taxonomy places the organism in Eukaryota, Viridiplantae, Streptophyta, Magnoliopsida, Myrtales, Lythraceae. The record is from RefSeq and is a predicted model, not a curated record.
CUUAAACCCUGAACCCUUGCCGGCGGGACGGUAACAGAUCGGAUCCUGCUCCUCGUUUCUCCCGUUUCCGGCGGCCAUCAGUUUCCGGAGAAGAACAAAGGUAUAUAUAGGGAUCAUUGUCAAGUUCAGUUGAAAUGGCUUCAGCUUGUGGAAGAUUCGUGCGCAGAGCUUCAGCGCCGCUGAAUUCCGCCAUCAGAUCUAAUCUGCGUCCUGCUUCGACCAGCAGAUCCGCCGCCUCCGCUCUCCCUUCCAAAUCUACUUCCGCUUCUGGGCGGUCCUUCUCCGUCCUCAGAGUCCGGCAUGAGCUGGGGUGCGUGCAAUCUCUCUUGCCGCUCCAUAGUGCGGUGGCCGCGGCGAGGAUGACGUCCUGCCUGAGCACGACGUCGAGGAGCUGCCGGGCGCUCUCACAGGGUACUCUCUGCUGCACCUCUCCAGGCCUCUAGUGCCGUUUUGUGUGUUUGCCUAUGGAGUCGAUGGUACGUGAGAGGUGUGCUGAUUCUGGAGAGCUCGGUCUGUCCGUUCCAAGGUGACUUUGUUUGCAGACUUCAUGACGAAAAGGACUGAUGAAAUCGACGAUCUCUUGGGCGGGUGAAUUCGUUCAUAAGUUUUAAGAGUGGCAAUUGUUUUGAUUAGACUACUGUGAAGAAGAUCUAUGUAUCUUCCAAUUUUAUAGGAUGUCUCUAAUGCCAAUAAGUUUCCAGGGCCCUUGUGUUCCAUUUUUUCUUUUGCCUGGUCAAUUUAGCUUUUCUGAUGGUUAGUAACUCGACAGUGUAUGCCAUCUUUGCAUCCUGGAACCCGAGUAAAGAACGGUACAGUUCCUCGAAAUACGUAGCUGACCUCGACCAUUAUGUCGAGCUAGUAGUUGCACAUCCACGGGACAUGUAACUUGGUAAUGUUCAUUGGUGAUUGUCUUUGAUUAUA